AACGAACGUUAGCGGCGCGCCUAACACAUGCAAGUCGCACGAGAAAGGGCUUCGGCCCCGGUACAGUGGCGCACGGGUGAGUAACACGUAGAUCAUCUCCCCUCGAGUGGUGGAUAACCUUCCGAAAGGAAAGCUAAUACAGCAUGAGACCACGGCUUCGUUGAAGCUGCGGCCAAAGCAGGCCUCUACAUGUAAGCUUGCGCUUGAGGAUGAGUCUGCGGCCCAUCAGCUAGUUGGUAGGGUAAUGGCCUACCAAGGCUAAGACGGGUAGCUGGUCUGAGAGGAUGAACAGCCACACUGGAACUGAGACACGGUCCAGACUCCUACGGGAGGCAGCAGUAAGGAAUAUUGCGCAAUGGGCGAAAGCCUGACGCAGCGACGCCGCGUGGGGGAUGAAGGUCUUCGGAUUGUAAACCCCUUUCGGGAGGGAAGAUGGGAUGGGGUAACCCAUUCGGACGUACCUCCAG
RNAcentral lists this ribosomal RNA (467 nucleotides) under uncultured bacterium. RNAcentral's name for it is "bacterial SSU rRNA". It matches the Rfam family "Bacterial small subunit ribosomal RNA", at positions 29 to 484 of the family's 1533-position model. The record is from RNAcentral.